Triticum urartu is the source of this 2793-nucleotide long non-coding RNA. RefSeq lists it as uncharacterized. Lineage: Eukaryota; Viridiplantae; Streptophyta; Magnoliopsida; Poales; Poaceae. The record is from RefSeq and is a predicted model, not a curated record.
UAAGUUUACUUACCUCCUCUCUCUCUCCGCGCACCGACGCAUCCCCCGGAGCACUCCCCACCUCCUCCCUUUUCAGCGCCCACAUCGCGACCCCUGUGGCUACUCCGUUGAGGCGUCGGCUUGACGGAGAUGAAGAAGAUAGCCAGGUGAUGCGGUACUCGGGAGGUGGAAUUGGCGACGAAGGUGGCUCCAUCGAAGAGGGACGAUGUGCUUCGGUGGUCAACGGCGGCUGUGCGGGAUGCAGUAUGGUAUGGAUCGGGCAUCUCGAGGAUGGGCUCUCUUCGCAAGUCCUCCUACACGCCACGGAGGUGUUUGAGGAGUCUGUCCCGGGGCUGCGUGUGAAGCACGUCGACGUCUCCCUCUUGGCAUUGCUCAACACCGCCCUGCCGGCUGGGGUCCUUAUUUUCCAUAGAGGCCUUCCGCAACAGGGUCCAUGAUGCCUGAUUGUUUCCUCUUCGGCUGGAUCGGGUCCAACCACACAAUUAUUGUACUACUCUCUUGAGUGGCAAAUAUUUACUGAGAUGGGAUAAUAGUGCAGGUUGAUGUGUGUAGCACGUGUUAACAAAAUCUCAAUUAUCUGCAUGGUAUAUAUAUCUCUAAUCAUUGUCUUUUCCAGAAUGAAGAGAAGGUAUGAGAAAGAUAAUACUAAUAUUCCCUAUACAUUCGACAUUUAACUUUUAUGAGAUUCUUGGAUUCCUCAAAAUCAUGUCUAUUAGUGUUUCUUCAAUAUAUAUAUGCAUGAUCUUUCCUUUUGAAAUUCUCAUUAUGUACAUGAUUUUUGCUACUGCUGGCCUUGAAUUGGCACUGAUUUGGGCCACCUUGUUGAAUGAUUCGUGCACGCAUGUGUUUCGUUGGUCUUUUGCGAUAUGUGGGGAGCGUAAACUGGAAGAACGUGUGCAGCAGGCAUCGCUGCUGCGCUGGACGACGUUGUGUGAGGCCAUGGCCAUGGACGAUGUGCUGUUGGAGAACGGCGCAGGACUAAGGUAGUCGAUGUGAACGACCACUGGCAUAUACAUUAUUAGUUAUAUGUUUGCCUGGGUAGGAAAGUAACAAUCAAUCCCUCAAAAUAAAAGGAAACUAAUGAUCAAGACCUUAGCUGGCUGAUGGUAACUCCAUUCAUUCUCUUCCUAUUAUUAUUAUUUUAGUUAUUUUUCUAUUCUCAUGGGUAGGUUUCUUCUGUGUUGUUUUGCUUUAGUUUCGUAGUUGUCACUCCCGUGUAUUUCUUUGAUGAGGAGGUGUGGACACGAGGCCUAACUAUCUGGUAUAAAUUGGUUUUCCCACUAUCGCUGUGAGAUUGGAUUGUUGUUCCUUUUCUGCACAUGAUUGUUCCACUUGUGAUUUAUCAUAUAUGAAUUGCUACUUGACAUCCUUUUGAUCCAGCGUGAUUUCUUGCUUGUUCUCAUCUUGUUGACUGCUGGUUGUGUUUGUUCUCUUGCCAAAGGCCGGGACUUUGAGUUGCCUGCAAUGGUGGAGCUCGGGAUGUUGGCAGAUCUGACCGGACUGGUGAGCACUCUGCCCACACCUGCCGAGGUCACCCUGCUCUGUGCCAUGCUCGGUAACUCACCCUCGCUGAUGGUAAUGUUAUGCACAAAAUGCUGAUGAAGUUGUGUACUGAUUCAAUGAACUGAAUUUUAAUGAGCUGAUGGUGAUGAUAUAUUUUUUGUGAACUAAAAAAGUGUAUCCCCAUAUUGCUGCUUUUAGGAAAUGGCGAAUUUACGUAUCCUUAUCAACCUUAUACUAAUACAUGUAUCUGUAUCGGUGCAUUCUUGGAUUUCAUGUAUAAGCCGCUCAAGAGAAAUUUAAAUAAGGUUGUUAUGUUUCAGCAUACUAUACAUACUUUCCCGUAGACAAUGCUGCAAUACUGUCAUGUGAUAACUAGUACUGAUAUAAGGACCCUUAUCUUCAGUGCCAUUUAGAGUAACAGUCUACAAUGCCACAACACUUUGUUGGACCUGUUUUUGGCGUUUCUUCUGCCAGGUAUCUCUAUGAUUUAAGUAGAUAGAAGUUAUUAAUUACACGUUCAUUGUGGUCGACCGACUGUCUCUCUUCUACAAUUGGAAAUCUGUUAUGUUCUGAUGAGAUGCUAUCGUAUGACUAAUAUGUAACUGGUGAGGUUUUAUGUCUCAUAGUUAAACUUUGUUUCAUAUUUUGAAUUGGUUAUUGAACAUUUUUGUUUCCAUGACAGUAGAUCUAUAUCGGGAUUUAUAGCAUAUGCUCUAUGUGCAGCCAUGGGCGGAUCCAGCCCAGCGCCCCGGGCCCCCUUUGUAUACUGUAGCAGUUGCUACAGUAUUUUCCCUACAGCCCACAAAGAAAAUGGGCCUCACGCCCCGGGCCUGGGGCCUAGAUCCGCCACUGUGUGCAGCUGAUGAGUCUUUCAGGGAUGCAAAUUGUGUGCCUUCGGAAAAUCAGAAUUAGGAAAGAAUGGGAUUUAUAGCAUAUAUGCUCUAUGUGCAGCUGAUGAAGCUUUGAGAGAUGAAAAUUGGUUGCCUUCGGAAAAUAAGAAGGAAAGAACGGUACCAAUUGCUUUUAGUGGAAGCUCUUUUCCUUUUUUGUAUUUUUGCCGAGUCGCUGGAUCUAAUUAGAGCUUUUAUCAGGGUGUUUCAAUUGGUGGGGGAAUCGGAAGCAUCUCAGACAUUUUUAAAUGCAUGACUGCUGAUUGCUGAAAAUGUUCAUACCCACAGUCAUUGCAAUUUGUUUUAUUCUCAUUCUUUUAGAGAAUUCUUUAUUUGACACUACCUUAAAAUGUGGUUCCCUAUUUGGCCCUGAAGAAAAUUUUCUUCCUUGUUUGACACA